RNAcentral lists this ribosomal RNA (870 nucleotides) under uncultured archaeon. Its description in RNAcentral is "bacterial SSU rRNA". It matches the Rfam family "Archaeal small subunit ribosomal RNA", at positions 4 to 882 of the family's 1478-position model. The record is from RNAcentral.
CUGGUUGAUCCUGCCAGACCCGACUGCUAUCGGAUUGGGACUAAGCCAUGCGAGUCAACUCCGCAAGGGGUGGCGCACGGCUCAGUAACACGUAGUCAACCUACCCUGGGGACGGGGAUAACCUCGGGAAACUGAGGCUAAACCCCGAUGGGCCAUGGCUCCUGGAAUGGGCUAUGGCUGAAAUCUACAUGGCCCCAGGAUGGGACUGCGGCCGAUCAGGUUGUUGGUGGGGUAAUGGCCCACCAAGCCUAUAGCCGGUGCGGGCUCUGAGAGGAGGAGCCCGGAGAUGGGCACUGAGACAAGGGCCCAGGUCCUAUGGGGCGCAGCAGGCGCGAAACCUCCGCAAUGGGCGAAAGCCCGACGGGGUCAGUCCGAGUGGUUCCCGCUGAGGGAACCUUUUGCCAGCUGUAAACAGGCUGGCGAAUAAGGGGUGGGCAAGUUUGGUGUCAGCCGCCGCGGUAAUACCAGCACCCCGAGUGGUCGGGACGAUUAUUGGGCCUAAAGCAUCCGUAGCCGGCCCAGUAAGUCCUCCGUUAAAUCCAACGGCUCAACCGUUGGGCUGCGGGGGAUACUGCUGGGCUAGGGGACGGGAGAGGCGAGGGGUAUUCCCGGGGUAGGGGUAAAAUCCACUGAUCCCGGGAGGACCACCAGUGGCGAAGGCGCCUCGCUAGAACGUGCCCGACGGUGAGGGAUGAAAGCUGGGGGAGCGAACCGGAUUAGAUACCCGGGUAGUCCCAGCCGUAAACGAUGUAGGCUCGGUGUUGGGCUGCCUCAGUGGCAGCCCAGUGCCGCAGGGAAGCCGUUAAGCCUACCGCCUGGGGAGUACGGCCGCAAGGCUGAAACUUAAAGGAAUUGGCGGGGGAGCACCAC